Molecule: transfer RNA, 24 nt
Filed under: Retropinna semoni (Australian smelt)
Lineage: Eukaryota; Metazoa; Chordata; Actinopteri; Osmeriformes; Retropinnidae
Description: partial tRNA-Phe
Source: RNAcentral
GGGCGUUGAAAAACCCCGCAAGCA